Molecule: ribosomal RNA, 1440 nt
Filed under: uncultured organism
Description: 16S ribosomal RNA
Rfam family: Bacterial small subunit ribosomal RNA
Source: RNAcentral
GUGCUUAACACAUGCAAGUCGAACGGAAAGGCCCUGCUUUUGUGGGGUGCUCGAGUGGCGAACGGGUGAGUAACACGUGAGUAACCUGCCCUUGACUUUGGGAUAACUUCAGGAAACUGGGGCUAAUACCGGAUAGGAGCUCCUGCUGCAUGGUGGGGGUUGGAAAGUUUCGGCGGUUGGGGAUGGACUCGCGGCUUAUCAGCUUGUUGGUGGGGUAGUGGCUUACCAAGGCUUUGACGGGUAGCCGGCCUGAGAGGGUGACCGGCCACAUUGGGACUGAGAUACGGCCCAGACUCCUACGGGAGGCAGCAGUGGGGAAUAUUGCACAAUGGGCGGAAGCCUGAUGCAGCAACGCCGCGUGCGGGAUGACGGCCUUCGGGUUGUAAACCGCUUUCGCCUGUGACGAAGCGUGAGUGACGGUAAUGGGUAAAGAAGCACCGGCUAACUACGUGCCAGCAGCCGCGGUGAUACGUAGGGUGCGAGCGUUGUCCGGAUUUAUUGGGCGUAAAGGGCUCGUAGGUGGUUGAUCGCGUCGGAAGUGUAAUCUUGGGGCUUAACCCUGAGCGUGCUUUCGAUACGGGUUGACUUGAGGAAGGUAGGGGAGAAUGGAAUUCCUGGUGGAGCGGUGGAAUGCGCAGAUAUCAGGAGGAACACCAGUGGCGAAGGCGGUUCUCUGGGCCUUUCCUGACGCUGAGGAGCGAAAGCGUGGGGAGCGAACAGGCUUAGAUACCCUGGUAGUCCACGCUGUAAACGGUGGGUACUAGGUGUGGGGUCCAUUCCACGGGUUCCGUGCCGUAGCUAACGCUUUAAGUACCCCGCCUGGGGAGUACGGCCGCAAGGCUAAAACUCAAAGGAAUUGACGGGGCCCCGCACAAGCGGCGGAGCAUGCGGAUUAAUUCGAUGCAACGCGUAGAACCUUACCUGGGUUUGACAUGGAUCGGGAGUGCUCAGAGAUGGGUGUGCCUCUUUUGGGGUCGGUUCACAGGUGGUGCAUGGCUGUAGUCAGCUCGUGUCGUGAGAUGUUGGGUUAAGUCCCGCAACGAGCGCAACCCUUGUUCACUGUUGCCAGCACGUUAUGGUGGGGACUCAGUGGAGACCGCCGGGGUCAACUCGGAGGAAGGUGGGGAUGACGUCAAGUCAUCAUGCCCCUUAUGUCCAGGGCUUCACGCAUGCUACAAUGGCUGGUACAGAGAGUGGCGAGCCUGUGAGGGUGAGCGAAUCUCGGAAAGCCGGUCUCAGUUCGGAUUGGGGUCUGCAACUCGACCUCAUGAAGUCGGAGUCGCUAGUAAUCGCAGAUCAGCAACGCUGCGGUGAAUACGUUCCCGGGGCUUGUACACACCGCCCGUCAAGUCAUGAAAGUUGGUAACACCCGAAGCCGGUGGCCUAACCGUUGUGGGGGAGCCGUCGAAGGUGGGACUGGUGAUUAGGACUAAGUAGUAA